RNAcentral lists this long non-coding RNA (5607 nucleotides) under Homo sapiens (human). RNAcentral describes it as "HSALNT0298186". Lineage: Eukaryota; Metazoa; Chordata; Mammalia; Primates; Hominidae. The record is from RNAcentral.
AUUUCCCAGAUACAGCUGAUCGAGUUCGCCGAGUGGCCGAGCGAGUGAGCGCUCCUCCGACUUGGGUGGAGGAAGGCACGGAAAAGUAUACGGGAGAAAAAGUGGGGGUUUUAGGGGUGGGGGUGGCAUAGGAGGAGGGAGGGGGGGAUCUGCAAAUCAUUCCACUUUUUAAACGAUCAUAGGUAGUGUCAAGGAUACGUGUCACCCUUGGUUCCUUUUAAAGGGGAGGUGGACAAUAAAAUACAGGUAGGUUUGGUAUUAAAAUAAUAGGUGCCAGAGGUUUCACAUCGGGUCCGCUGCAUCUGUUAUUAGACGAAGAUCAACAUUGGCUGAGUCCCAGUUUAUCUCCAGUCCAAAUUAUCAGGAAGAGGAAUAUUUACCCUUGGUUACCUCUGACAUUAGUUGGAUUGUAGGUAAAGCAGCCUUUAAAAAUAUAUAUGUUGCAAACAUCUGGCGAUUACCCUUCACUAAUUCACUCGCCCCAGAAAGACCAAAGAUAGCUGUUCAAUACAGGAUUUACACAGUUUUGACGCCUGGGCAACAAACUUUAAAGUUUAUUAGGCAAGAAAUUUCAAACGCAUAAAUCGCAGGCUCUAAAAUAAAGCCCUAGAAAAUUUACUUUGGUUUGACAUUUCUUGCUUGAAAAAUAACCAGCAAAAUUUCUUUAGAUAAUGUGGCUCUUAAAGAUCUCCUUGGGCUUUGCAAGUUACAAAUGCAAGCGAGCCUCAGCCGCAGCUAGAACGUCCCUUUCACCGGGCACAGUAAACGGCUUUUAAUAAAGCAGCCGCGUUUAUGACCUAAAGAUCCUAUAAAAGCUGGGACUUGCAAGAGCUGCGAAGCAGAAACAUUCAUACAUAGUCUAUUAGACACUCAUUUUUGUAAGUAGGAGGAGGACAAGUAGUCUUCGUGUGUCCCUCAAAUUUAAUCAGAUCAAAGGUUGAAUCAUGCUGUGUCGUGACAACAGGGUAUUUAUGAGGUGUGUUACAAGUACACUGGCCAAACACUACCAAUGUCUUCUGCGACACACACACACACACACUCCUUCCUAGGGAAUUUACAAUUUCAGCCUCAAAUUCACCAAACCGUAAAGAGGAUAUUAAGCCCUCCCUUUGAAUAAGAAUAGCGAUGUUAGUAUGUCCGAGUCUAUCCCGGCAGGAAACUUUUGGCACGAAUUUCAAACAGUGAAAAGGAGAAAAAAAAUUAGGUCGGUCAGGUUAGGUGUCGGCGAUAAGAAAAGAGAUUGCGGGAGCAUCCCCAGCCUUCUUCUUUCCCCUUUUGCCGCCCCCACACACUCCCCCCACGCGUCUAUCACGGAAGCAACACAGAGGAGCGCACACGCACCACUCACACCUCCAACUAUUGACUGUUGUAUCAGGUGUUCUAACCGGGAUGUGACAGUUGAGGCUGGGAGCAGAAAUAAUCAACAUGCCCAUUAGAUACAGGACGGAAUAAUGCUUCUAUUGGUUGGGUCCCUUCGAGGUAAGCGGGUGUAUUGAGCGGGGAAACUUGGGAUCUGAGAAUGGAUCAAAGCUACUUUCUUUCUUAUUUUUCGUCCUACUAGUUUUCUUUAAGAAUCUUGGUUUGUACAUAUAAGUUAGCGCCAGCCCACAAAUAAACUGGUAGGAGUAAGGGCUAUAUACCUUUCCACACCUUAAAACCAUCUGCUCAGUUUGACAUUUAAAAGGGCGGAGAGCAGAGAAGGAGGAGGGGGGAGUAGGGGGAAGAAAGGAGUCAGGGACAGAGAAAAAGAUUCAAACGCGAAAAAAAUGGCUUGCACUUUAGCCCACAAGUUUGUGUCAAUUGCACAUAGCGCUUGAAUGCACGUUUUGCACACACCACGCCCGGGAACUGGCGGCGGGAAAAGUUCCCUGAGAACCCCAGUAAGUCCUGUGUCACGCCGUGGGCAAAAGCAGGCCUGAGUCGAAGUCGGGGUAACCCGCUUGCCGAACAAGGAAGCUCUCCCACCCCCAGCCUCGGCGGCAGAGGCUCCCGGCUCGCGACGCUCUGCCGCGGCGGUUCGCAGCCCGCAUUAGGGCGCAGGAGCGGCGACUUGAAAUAGGAGCGCGCGCCACGCUAGGCGAGCGAGAUCGGUUCGCAGCCCAGCUCCGUGAGCUGCCUCGGCGCAGCCCUGUCCCGUGUCCUGUCCUCUACUGUCGGGGAGGCGUACAGGCCAGGCUCCUGGCAACCUCUCUUGCUAGAGCUGCGGCAUUCUCCUGGGUCUCGGGCUGCCCUGGACAAGACUUGAGGCCCGAGCCCCCUAUCUCGGGCGACUCCCGCUUUGUUUUCUGAUAGGGGAGAAGCCUGGAGACAAGGAGUCGCCUAGAUAUUGGCUCCAUCUCUGAAACCAGCCGCCAAGCCUAGGGUUAAGACAACUCCUCCCUCCGCCCCACUUCCAACACAACCCCAGUAACUUAGAAGUUAACGCAAGUUCUGACCGGUCUUGUAACACACUCUAUCCGUGCAGGUUGCAUUUACUUAUUUAUCUGAAGGGUGAUCUGUGUGUUCUUAGACAAACUCGCAGUUAUCACCCAUGCAUCUGGUUCUGGGUUAAAUACACUUCGCCUUGACAUUUGCUCGGUGUAUGCUCACGCCUCCUGUUCUUUCUUAAAGCUGUUAGGUGGGGGCAGGAGGGAAGACAGUGUGUAUAAGUAAUUUAAAACCUUACAAACAACUGUUAUCAGAUCCUAAACAAACCAAUUCUGAGAAUUACAACCAGAUUCAGUUGAGAGGCAAAAGUGGACGUGGAUUUUGGAAAAGGGUGCCUAAGGACUUCCAGGUCAGCCACCCACCGCUACCACCACCACCACCGCCACCACUACCACCAUCACUAUCAGCACCCUGAAGAAGGGAAGAGAGGAAAACCAACCCCAGGGUGCAGGCCUGCCUGCUGCAAGCUUUCUAGAGGCAAAACUGACUGACGGCCUCUCACUCUCAUCUCCUGUGCUCAGUGUGACGCCAAGCCCAACCUGGAUUUGUUCUGAAUGGGGGGGAAGUGAAAUGCCACAAGAUCAGUAGCAAGUAGCAGCUGCAGCGUUUUCUCUCCUGGGAACCCCACUGCUUAGAAGCCUCCUGAGUGAUGUUUGUUUAACCAACAGCUUUCAAAGUAAACAGAAGCCAAUCACUCCAAAGAAGUUGAAAUAUAACCCUUACAAGAAUUUGGAUCCAGGGGUGCUGGCAGAAAGAAAGUAAUUUUUAAAAUGAUAAAGAACCCACUCCCAAAUAAGAGUCUGCCACAUUGCUUUAAGGAGCGCAGAAUUGUCAUGAAAAUAUAAUUUCAUCGAAAGGGCUAAUUACAAUAAGUUGACCUCGAAGAAAAUCACUCUUCGCCCACAAAGACACACCCGCGGGGAUGAGGAGGUUGUCAGUGAUUGAAGGGACACACUACUACUUGAUUUUAUGGAAGUGGGCGAAAACAAUCAAAGGGAAGUACAUUCCCUGCCCUGGAGUAGUGAAGUGUAGGCUGGGAGCUCUUCGCCGCCAACCCUGGCUUUGCCUCAGGCACCGAACUUUCCAAUACCAAGAUAUUAACAGAUGGUGGUGAGCACAUGGAGGGCUGCUACUUACAUAAUCUAGCCACUCCGCCCGGCUGCCCAGAGCCCGGCGAGGAACCGGCCAGGCCGCGCGCGCGCCUUCCGAGGGGUGCUCCCUGACAUAACUUGCCUUUCUCCAACCCCACCCAUCGUUUUGAGGGUUAGCAUUUGGAGAGGCCGUGAUUUAAAAAAACCAAACAAAAACAAAAACACCCAAAACAUUGAUUUGGCUGUGCUUUGUCUUCUUCAGUCCAUAGUAGCGAAGAAGCUGGAAACCCAAAGGCUGAGAGAAACGGAGGGGAUGCCUUCGGCGAGAAAGGGGUGCUCUCCCUACGUAUCUGGGGGUUCCCGCGAGUGGAAUUUACACAAUUUACAACACUCUUGCCCACCAUCUUUGGUUCAAAUCCACAUAUCUUUUGCUGUCGCUUAAGUACAAAGGCAGUCUCGGGCCGCAACUCAAGGGGAGUGAGAUGGGGUGAGGGUGUGAGUGUGAAGGGGACACCUUUGCACGCGGGGGCGCAGUGGGCAAAGUUACGCAAAGCCUCUGGGCACCGCUACACUUCCAAGCUGUGGCAGGGUUUUAAGCGCUCGAUCCCGCUCGCAGGGAGUCCCUUUCGGAUGUGUGGCCGCCUGCUGCCUUCACGCCCUCAGCCGCCUCCCAAGAGGCCCUGUCCCUCCUGGUGUGCCUGUGUACCUCCUCCAGUGUGCCAGGGCACGUGUGCUUCCCGAGCCUCCUCCCUGACUGCGACUCGGGACCGCCGAAUCCUGCGAGGAAUACGCCUGCGUGUGUUGGAAAAGUUUCGGGUUGGGCAGGAAGGCUGGGAAUCUCCUCUCCAGGCACUCGGCAGGAGCGGGGCUUCCUCGCCCGCGGCUUCCUCCCAGUGCCCUCCUCCCUCCCCGGCCCGCCCUUCCUAGCCUCGGCCCCGCGCUAGGUGUCGCGGCCUCUCCGGCCAGAGAGAGCGAGCGCCAGAUGCUGCGGCUGCCGCGGCGCCGCGCUCCGCAGAGGGCGCGCCCCUCCUGCCUGCGCGGCCAAGUGGGGGUCCAGGCCGCCCUGCUGGUCCCUCCUCGCUCUGGCCCCGCGGCACUUGCCUCUUCCCGGGCCAUCGCAGGGGCUGCAGCCUCGCUCAGCUAGCCUGGGCUCAGUACACGCCCUGGACGCAGAGGGCAACCACCUGCUCCCGGCGCGCCGCAGAGCCGGGGAACGUCGUGGUGGCCGGGGGAUUUCGGCCGCCGCCAGGCCUGCGCUGCCCCCGCGGCCUCUCCUCCCCCGCCGCCCGCCUGUUGCUGUGGGGACAGCCGGUGGACGCGCUCGACCUGGGAGGGGGGACUCCCUCCCGGGACCGCGGGAGGGGCGUGCACGUUUGAAGGGAUGGAAAUCUCCCUUUCUGCCCACCCCCUUUCUUUUGUCAAUUACUCUAAGGAUGUUUGGCCGUUACUCCCAGCUUCCCUCUCUUUGGUCUUUCACGUCAAGGAUGUGAAUUCGGGGGUGCUCCAUUUUCAGGGGCUUUGGUGAUAGGACUGAAGUUUUCCAUAUUGUCCAUCUUACCAGAAGCUUUUAUUCAGGGUGAGGAGUGGGCUAGAAAUAAGUAGGUGCCUGCCUGACGCAGCGAAAAGAGAAGGACGCUCCCAGUUUGGAUGCAUUUGGAGAGAGUAACUGGAAAGUUGCAUUUUGUUUAAAUUAGAGCAAGAUGAAGUUGAAAGCCAGAUUUCUAUAUUUUUUCUGGUAAUAUUUCUUUUAUGAAGUAUCUAAGUGUCUGUUUGUCAUCAUUUUGAGAUCAAAAGGAAAAUCCAUAUGCUGUAUAGUUUUUCGAAAUUGCUAUUUAAAUAUGUUUUAAAUGUUUUGUCCAACGUGGAGUAGGCUGCUUGGAGGCAAGGCUGGUGACAGGAAUAGCGGGAUGGUUUGAUGUGGAGUGGUGCUUCCGAAGACCUGACGAAUCAUCGGAAUCACCGAAGGGGUGUUUUGUUGUUGUUGUUGUUGUUGUUGUUGUUGUUUUAAAUAAAGAUUUCUGGGCCCACCCCAGUGAGGUAAUCAGAAGAAGGACCUGGGAAUCUGGGGGUCACCCUGUGUCUUUAAUUA